Long non-coding RNA from Toxorhynchites rutilus septentrionalis, 932 nucleotides. RefSeq lists it as uncharacterized. NCBI's taxonomy places the organism in Eukaryota, Metazoa, Arthropoda, Insecta, Diptera, Culicidae. The transcript is spliced from 4 exons. The record is from RefSeq and is a predicted model, not a curated record.
AAUAACAUCGACCUAACAUGGAACAACAUUCCCGUCUUGCCUCCCCUUGUCUAUCGUUCGUUGAUCGAAAAUACGGAAUGAUUAGCGAAUCGAAUCAGCAUCACUGGUAGUUGCUUUUUCUUCAACGGUAAACUGUCAUCUUAUACAAAACAAAUGGAACAUACAACUGAUAGUCUUUGGCAAAUUUAUCUAUCUAUUACAUAUCGUUGCAAGCAGAAGAGAAUCCGCUGCAAGUCAAUUCCAGCCUGCGAACACUAUUCGAAAAAUUGAUUCCCCUUCAGCGUCAGCGCCAGAAGAAAAUACGAAAGGUGAAUUUUGGAUUGAUAUUUUCCGGAGAAGGAGCUUGCAAGAAGCUGAUUGGAGACCACAGUUUCAGACUCAACAUAUUUCUCGGCCGUCCGACCGGUUGAGAUUCCUGAUUAUUAUAAUUAUAUCAAAUACCCGAUGGAUUUAAAAACGAUGGGGGAAGGACUGAAAAAUAGGCGAGCUUGACAGUAAAAAAUUGUCUAUAUUUUUCCAUUCAUUGCCGCUUGAUACUCAUUCUAGAUAUUACGUAGCAUGAAGAUUGUUCGUGGCAGAUAUUGCGCGUAUUUUCUGAACUGUCGAUCACCAAAAUCUGAAUAUUAUCGGUGCGGGAACACGCGUUACUAUCACACCAAGAUGAUAGAGAUCUGCCUUUGGGAUAAAUGAUGUUGGCUACUCCCAUCCGUGGCUCCAAUGGCUACACCUACCGAUUCAUGUGCAAGCUGAUGCAAAAGACCUGCGAACUUCGUGUUGUUUUGAUAUUGCCGAGGAACUGCUAAGACAUCUAAUUGUGAAAAGAUUCUUACAUACUAUGUUUGUGGAUCGAACAACAAACUCUACCGGAAUGAGUGCCACAUGAGGAAAGAGAAUUGUGGUUAGCGCAUGUUCGUAGUGCCGAUGCAGUAUUG